RNAcentral lists this ribosomal RNA (333 nucleotides) under uncultured bacterium. Its description in RNAcentral is "partial 16S ribosomal RNA". It matches the Rfam family "Bacterial small subunit ribosomal RNA", at positions 338 to 667 of the family's 1533-position model. The record is from RNAcentral.
CCUACGGGAGGCAGCAGUGAGGAAUAUUGGUCAAUGGGCGGAAGCCUGAACCAGCCAAGUAGCGUGCAGGAUGACUGCCCUACGGGUUGUAAACUGCUUUUAUACGGGAAUAACGCGCCUUACGUGUACUGCUUUGCAUGUACCGUAUGAAUAAGGAUCGGCUAAUUCCGUGCCAGCAGCCGCGGUAAUACGGAAGGUCCGGGCGUUAUCCGGAUUUAUUGGGUUUAAAGGGAGCGUAGGCCGCAUGUCAAGCGUGCUGUGAAAUGUCCGGGCUCAACCCGUGCCUUGCAGGGCGAACUGGGCUGCCUUGAGCCGAGGAGAGCUGGGGGAAAU